UACGGUGGGGGCAAGCGUUGUUCGGAAUUACUGGGCGUAAAGGGCUCGUAGGUGGCCAACUAAGUCAGACGUGAAAUCCCUCGGCUUAACCGGGGAACUGCGUCUGAUACUGGAUGGCUUGAGUUUGGGAGAGGGAUGCGGAAUUCCAGGUGUAGCGGUGAAAUGCGUAGAUAUCUGGAGGAACACCGGUGGCGAAGGCGGCAUCCUGGACCAACACUGACACUGAGGAGCGAAAGCCAGGGGAGCAAACGGG
Molecule: ribosomal RNA, 253 nt
Filed under: uncultured bacterium
Lineage: Bacteria
Description: partial 16S ribosomal RNA
Rfam family: Bacterial small subunit ribosomal RNA
Source: RNAcentral